GUCUUCGUGGUGUAGAGGUCAGCACGCUCGACGCGUAAGCGAGAGGUCCGAGGUUCAAUUCCUGACGAGGGCA
RNAcentral lists this transfer RNA (73 nucleotides) under Stegodyphus mimosarum. It matches the Rfam family "tRNA". Rfam says of the family: Transfer RNA (tRNA) molecules are approximately 80 nucleotides in length. Their secondary structure includes four short double-helical elements and three loops (D, anti-codon, and T loops). The record is from Rfam by way of RNAcentral. Lineage: Eukaryota; Metazoa; Arthropoda; Arachnida; Araneae; Eresidae.